GAUGAACGCUAGCGGCAGGCCUAAUACAUGCAAGUCAAGGGGCCAGCAAUGGCACCGGCGCACGGGUGCGUAACACGUACACAACAUACCUUUAAGUGGGAGAUAGCAUCGGGAAACUGGUGGUAAUACCCCAUAAUAUUGCGAUGCGGCAUCACAUUGCAAUUAAAGUUUCGACGCUUAAAGAUUGGUGUGCGUCCGAUUAGCUAGUUGGCGGGGUAACGGCCCACCAAGGCUACGAUCGGUAGGGGGUGUGAGAGCAUGACCCCCCCANAUGGGUACUGAGACACGGACCCAACUCCUACGGGGAGCAGCAGUAAGAUAUGGACAAUGGACGAAGUCUGAUCCAG
RNAcentral lists this ribosomal RNA (347 nucleotides) under uncultured bacterium. Its description in RNAcentral is "bacterial SSU rRNA". It matches the Rfam family "Bacterial small subunit ribosomal RNA", at positions 28 to 391 of the family's 1533-position model. The record is from RNAcentral.